GUUGUGUAGUUUUUAAGUUUCUAUGUUGUGUCAUGUGUACUAUUGUUUGUCUGCCUGUCUUGUUUUCAUUUUCAGCCACGGCGUUGUCAGUUUAUUUUCGAUUUAUGAGUUUGCCACGUUAAGAUAUGAUAUGGGUUUUGGUAUUCUAAUUUUUAUGAUAUUUUGCCAUUAUGUUGCGACUGUUUUUUUUUUUUUUUAUAAUUCUUCACUUUUUGUAAUUUGCCCUUUUUGAUACACACUUUUUUGAGUGGCUUUUUUGUACGCCAACUUUUUUGUAGACUGUAUAUAAAAAGAAGAUGUGGUAUGAUUGCCAAUGAGACAACUAUCCACAAAAAACUAAAAUGACACAGACAUUAACAACUAUAGGUCACCGUACGGCCUUCAACAAUGAGCAGAGCCCAUACCGCAUAGUCAGCUAUAAAGGCCCCGAUAAAACAAUGUAAAACAAUUCAAACGAGAAAACUAACGGUCUUAUUUAUGUAAAAAAAAAAAUGAACGAAUAACAAUGUAACACAUAAACAAACGACAAC
This 530-nucleotide long non-coding RNA is filed under the name Mytilus galloprovincialis (Mediterranean mussel). The record is from RNAcentral. Lineage: Eukaryota; Metazoa; Mollusca; Bivalvia; Mytilida; Mytilidae.